CCUACGGGAGGCAGCAGUGGGGAAUAUUGGACAAUGGGCGAAAGCCUGAUCCAGCAAUGCCGCGUGAGUGAUGAAGGCCUUAGGGUUGUAAAGCUCUUUUACCAGGGAUGAUAAUGACAGUACCUGGAGAAUAAGCUCCGGCUAACUCCGUGCCAGCAGCCGCGGUAAUACGGAGGGAGCUAGCGUUGUUCGGAAUUACUGGGCGUAAAGAGUACGUAGGCGGUUAUUCAAGUCAGAGGUGAAAGCCCGGGGCUCAACCCCGGAACUGCCUUUGAAACUAGAUAGCUAGAGUCUUGGAGAGGUUAGUGGAAUUCCGAGUGUAGAGGUGAAAUCCGUAGAUAUUCGGAAGAACACCAGUGGCGAAGGCGACUAACUGGACAAGUACUGACGCUGAGGUACGAAAGCGUGGGGAGCAAACAGGAUUAGAUACCCUGGUAGUCCACGCCGUAAACGAUGAUAACUAGUUGUUCGGGCACUUGGUGCCUGAGUGACGCAGCUACGACAUUAAGUUAAUUCCGUCCGUCGGGUAGGUACGGUCGGCGAAGAAGUUAAAACUAACAAAGUAAGUAAGUUAGGUACGGUUAAGGUAGGACGUUGCCGAACGGACGACCGAACCGAAGGGGAGGUUAGGG
This 632-nucleotide ribosomal RNA is filed under the name uncultured bacterium. Its description in RNAcentral is "bacterial SSU rRNA". The stretch from base 1 to 520 matches the Rfam family "Bacterial small subunit ribosomal RNA", at positions 338 to 873 of the family's 1533-position model. The record is from RNAcentral.